GCGGAAGUAGUUCAGUGGUAGAACAUCACCUUGCCAAGGUGGGGGUCGCGGGUUCGAGCCCCGUCUUCCGCU
RNAcentral lists this transfer RNA (72 nucleotides) under Listeria monocytogenes. Its description in RNAcentral is "tRNA-Gly". It matches the Rfam family "tRNA". From Rfam's summary of the family: Transfer RNA (tRNA) molecules are approximately 80 nucleotides in length. Their secondary structure includes four short double-helical elements and three loops (D, anti-codon, and T loops). Lineage: Bacteria; Bacillati; Bacillota; Bacilli; Caryophanales; Listeriaceae. RNAcentral also lists the same sequence under 1 other name. The record is from RNAcentral.